Molecule: ribosomal RNA, 378 nt
Filed under: uncultured eukaryote
Lineage: Eukaryota
Description: partial 18S ribosomal RNA
Rfam family: Eukaryotic small subunit ribosomal RNA
Source: RNAcentral
CAAUAGCGUAUAUUUAAGUUGUUGCAGUUAAAAAGCUCGUAGUUGGAUUUCGGGUGUGAACGACCGGUCCGUCUUUGAUGUGUACCGGUUGGUUGCGCCUUAUUGUCGAGGACGUGGUUCUAGCUUUCAUUAGCCGGGACACGGAGUCGGCAGCGUUACUUUGAGAAAAUUAGAGUGUUCAAAGCAGGCUAUCGCUCUGAAUACUACAGCAUGGAAUAACACGAUAGGACUCCGAGCCUAUUCUGUUGGUCUUCGGGACCGGAGUAAUGAUUAAGAGGGACAGUUGGGGGCAUUCGUAUUCCGAUGUCAGAGGUGAAAUUCUUGGAUUAUCGGAAGACGAGCAUCUGCGAAAGCAUUUGCCAAGGAUGUUUUCAUUAA